This 669-nucleotide ribosomal RNA is filed under the name uncultured bacterium. RNAcentral describes it as "bacterial SSU rRNA". It matches the Rfam family "Bacterial small subunit ribosomal RNA", at positions 62 to 719 of the family's 1533-position model. The record is from RNAcentral.
UCGAACGCGAAAGUUUUCUUCGGAAAGCGAGUAGAGUGGCGCACGGGUGAGUAACGCGUAAGUAAUCUACCCUGGUAUCCGGGAUAACUAACCGAAAGGUUGGCUAAUACCGGAUACGCUGAUGUAUCAGGAAAGGUGGCCUCUUCAUGAAAGCUACUGUACCAGGAGGAGCUUGCGUACCAUUAGCUAGUUGGUAGGGUAAUGGCCUACCAAGGCGACGAUGGUUAGCGGGUCUGAGAGGAUGAUCCGCCACACUGGAACUGGAACACGGACCAGACUCCUACGGGAGGCAGCAGUGAGGAAUAUUGCGCAAUGGGGGAAACCCUGACGCAGCGACGCCGCGUGGAUGAUGAAGGCCUUCGGGUCGUAAAAUCCUGUCAGAUGGAAAGAAGUGCAUGUGUGCUAAUACCACAUAUGUUUGACGGUACCAUCAAAGGAAGCACCGGCUAACUCCGUGCCAGCAGCCGCGGUAAUACGGAGGGUGCAAGCGUUGUUCGGAAUUACUGGGCGUAAAGCGCGCGUAGGCGGUUUUAUAAGUCAGAUGUGAAAGUCCACGGCUCAACCGUGGAAGUGCAUUUGAAACUGUACUACUUGAGUACUGGAGGGGGUGGUGGAAUUCCCGGUGUAGAGGUGAAAUUCGUAGAUAUCGGGAGGAAUACCGGUGGCGAA